UACGGAGGUUGCGAGCGUUGUUCGGAAUAACUGGGCGUAAAGGGAGCGCAGGCGGUUCGGCAAGUCUAAAGUGGAAGCCCGGGGCUUAACCUCGGAAGUGCUUUGGAUACUACCGAGCUCGAGUUCGUGAGAGGAAAGCGGAAUUCCAGGUGUAGCGGUGAAAUGCGUAGAUAUCUGGAGGAACACCGGUGGCGAAAGCGGCUUUCUGGCACGAUACUGACGCUGAGGCUCGAAAGCAUGGGUAGCAAAC
This 250-nucleotide ribosomal RNA is filed under the name uncultured bacterium. RNAcentral's name for it is "partial 16S ribosomal RNA". It matches the Rfam family "Bacterial small subunit ribosomal RNA", at positions 524 to 773 of the family's 1533-position model. The record is from RNAcentral.